AGAGGCAGCCUGGGCUGACGUGCAGCUUUGCCCUCCUCUCCUCUCCCCAACCUGGGACGCACAUGUGAGGCUCGAAGCGCCACAGCCACGGGGUCAAGUGCCACAGGCCAGAGAUGGUGGAGGGAACAACCCACAGACCCGGAGGCCUGGGGGACCCUGGAUUCGCGGCACCACCGCGGGACAGUCGGCCUCGGCGCUCAUCGGCCCGGAGGAGAGCCGUCUCUGGCUCAGCCAGACCGUGUCACCAGGGGCCCUGUCGCAUGUGGUCCACAAGAAGCCUCGGGAGCAAGCAGGGCCCGAGAAGAGAGACGGGUGUGGACAGAUACCGUGGGGACCUCGCAGUUAAGGGGGAGGAGGCUCAGCUUGCAGGGGAAACUGAGGUAAAAUGUGUUCCUGGGCUCUGGGGACCGAGACCUCAACAUCUUUGGAAGGCACGAGAAAUAAGACGUGGGAAGAUGUGUUAUAUUUGAAUGGAUCCUUCAAGGCUCUGCGAGAGUUUUAUGCAGGAAAGCCUUGUGCAAAAAGGAAAAGGGAUUCACACGAAGAACGUGCUUGCUCAAGGCCUGGAGACAAGAAAGCAUAGCUACUGUUUUCCUUUUUUGAUGACCUGCUUUUCUUUGUCUUUGGAAAGACCCAACCUCUGCCCCAAUGCCGCUAGGGUUCAGAGGUUUACUACCCUUCACUGCAGUUCACUUCUUCCUACGAUGGCUCUGAACAGAGAAGAACCUGCCUUAAAUUGAACCAGGCUGUUCUCUUCAUCACUGGACACCUUAAUAGACCUCACAGUCCCCAGAAGUCGCUUCAGUUGGACCAGAAAGGGGGACUGGGCAAUGGAAGGGUCAUGGCACACAGGGGUCUGAUACAUCCGGAAGGUUCUCUGAGGUUCAUCCUUGGGCAGACUGUUCCUCUUAAAAGCCUCAGAACAGGUCACCAGGCCAAUAACUUACUAGAACAAUACCAUUCCCAAAGCUGCUGGCCUCCUCUACUCCUGUGCUACAAGUCAACUGAAAAGAACUUGAGCUGAGGCUGAAUUUGGACUUGAGCUUCAAGAGAUUAAAAACUCAGAAAUGCUGACAUUUUCUGUUUCUCUUGAUGUCAUUGCGAACAGUAAAUUGCUAGAGGUUUGGAGUCAGGGAGGCCCACUGCCCUCUCCCUGAGAUAAGUCAGGGUUCUGACAGCCUCAGUCCAGGGAAUCACUGCUGUGGCCAUGGGCAAGGGUGGCCAGGAACUCUGUGGGCUGCGGAGGGAGGACAGUGCCUGGACAGGUCCCUGAUCUCUCUGCAUCCUCUGUUGACAUCCUCUGCCCCUGCGUCUCCUCUAUGCCAGGCAAUUGCUCCCCGUGAUGCUCUGGUGUGUAAGGCAAUGGAGCGGAUACCACCCUGUCCUCAGUGCUGAGCAGGGCUUGAGUUUACAGCAGCAUUUUUAUAUCCUUUACCUUCUUCAACUCUUACAACAACCUGGUGAGGGAAACGGAGUAAGUGGCAGGGCUGAGACCAACUCUCCUCUGUUCCCGCCACACGUGGACACUACCCAUGAGCUUUGGACCACGACUGCUGGGUCAGGGCUGGGCCUGCAAAAACCGUCAAUGAUGGUCUGCACCCAAGAUUUCCAGCUGCAUUAGAGACUCUUAACUCUAGGGAAAAAACUGAGGGUUGCUGGUGAGGGUGGGGAAUAGGGUAAUCGGGUAAUGGGCCCUGGGGUGGGGGGAGCACCUGAUAUAACGAGCACUGGGUGUUAUAUGCAACUGACAGAUCACUAAAUUCUACCCCUGAAAUUAUUAAUACACUAUAUGUUAACUAAAUUGAAUAGAAAUUAAAAAAAAAAAGAUUUCCAGCUCCUUUCUCUUGUUUCCUCCCCCCUCUACCAUCUCUCUUCUGUAUCUGUAUUCCUCUCCUUUUCUUCUUCUCACCAGCCAAGAACCCCACUAAUGAUGCUCAUUUCUUGGGGGGCCCUGCUAGGCUGGAAGGGACUAGAACCCCUGGACCAGGAUGCCUCCAACCACGGAUGUGAGUAUCCUCCUGGUGCCUGUGUCCCCCAGUCAACAGGUCCCAGGUUGGGCAGUCGAGUCAUCCAUACCAGAAGCAGCAGUGGGGGCGGGAUCUUGGAAAGCUCCAGGCCAGAAGCCAGAGGUCUUCACAUGACUCUGCCAGUCAUAACCUUAGAUAUAUUACUGCCCCACCCUGGACCUCAGUUUCCUCAUCAGUAAAGUAGGACAAUAAUACCCACCUCCCAAGGCAGUUUUAAGGGCUAGAAAAAUUGACUUCAUGGUGCUGGGCAUUUAUUAGAUUUUUAAUAAAGCUUGGUUGAACGUGGCAGCAGCUGGAGUACAGAAGCCUCCUAGGGCUGUACUUGGAAAUAUCAAUAUCUAUGUUGAGUAAUAAGAGCCAGGAAGCAGCAACAGAGAGGUAGAAAGGGAUAGAGGAAGGGUGUCACGGGGCAGAGCCUGCUCAUUGUUUUUCUCCUAGGCAGCUCAGGCUCCCGGGACUCUGGAUCCAGCCACUGGAUGCAAUUAAUGCUUGUCUUUUUAUGAUGUUGAUGAGAUCAUCUUGUAACAUUCCAAAUGCUUAAUGAGGUGUGUGCAACUACUGGACACUGAGUCCUGGAAUCUCCCUGCCAUCGGCACACCCUGGUAGUAAUGGUGAUUUUUAAAAGCUGGGAAGCCCAGAGUGACUUCUCCCCAAACAGACUUGGCCAGUCCCAAUGUCAGUAGAGAUUCAGAGCCCAACCUGCAGUGGUUCCAGAAAGAGAAGCCAAUUACAAUUCUCAGUGGUGGGGGCAGGGGUGGGGGAUGGGGUGGGGGGACCCCAAAGUAUGGGAGGAAUCCAGGACCCAAAACAAGGAAAACUCAAUUUUUCCCGGGGGCAAAGAAACUCCAGAGCUUGAAACUUGUAAACUAGAAAUGGAUAGAUUUUCAGUUAAACAUGCAAAUUGGUCAGAGCCAGCUGUCAUCUGUCCCUCCUAGGAUCUCACUUAGAUGGCAGUAAAGGAAUGGAAAUGGUAUAAACCCACAACAUCAUAGGGAAUGGGAGAGGAGUAUCAGUGGAUUGGACCCCUCAGCACAUUUACUGAACUAAACAGUUGAAUGUAGGUGGGGAGGAAGAGGAGGAAGUCACAGCCAAUGUGAGCAGAGAGAGCUCAUUUUCCUAACAGGGCCGCAUGGAGGCCUGAAGAUUCAUUACACCAGGUACAGUGCAGGACAGAUCACAUAAGCUGUGGAAGUAAUAACCAGGAAGUUUUUUGAAAGUCAAUAUGUGGAAUAGUUGCCUCUACAUCCAUCCCUAGGAAAACAAACAAAAAAUUUAUUUAAAGAAAUUAUAAGGUCCUCGAGAAAACAACCCUUUACAAACAUUCUUGCUUAUAGAGAUAGAUUCCUAGUAUAAUACUCAGCUUGCUACCCCAGAGCCCUAAAAUCAAGCUUGCCAGCCAACAACUCUUGCCCACAUGUACAAAGUUCUCAAAGUCAGCUACCCUAUUGCCUCGUUUAAAAAUAUGAACAGGCAAACAAGAAUUUAAGGCAAGCAAGCAACAAACAACAGCAAUGACAAAAAAAUCCCAGAGAAAACAUAUAGUUCGGAAAAUAAAAGGGAAACUUAAAAACUGCAAAAUUUAAACUGUAAUAUCCUAAGAAAAAUACAAAGAGACUGCAUCCAUAAAACAAAAAUAAGAACCUAGAAAAAGGAACAAUUAAAGAAAAGAAUCACAGAAAUUAUAAAUACAGUUGCAGAAAUUAUAAUUUUAAUUCAACUGUUAGAAGAUAGAGUUGAGGGAUGCUUGGGUGGCUCAGCAGUUGAGCAUCUGCCUUUGGCCCAGGGCGUGAUCCCGGGGUCCCAGGAUCGAGUCCCACAUCGGGCUCCCUGCAUGGAGCCUGCUUCUCCCUCUGCCUGUGUCUCUGCCUCUCUCUAUGUGUCUCUCAUGAAUGGAUAAAUAAAAUCUUAAAAAAAAAAAAGAUAAAGUUGAGAAGUCUCCAGAAAGUACAAGAGAGAGAUUAAAAAGAAAAAAAGAAGGUAAGAAAGAUUAAAAUAGAGAACAAAAAUUAUAAAGGAAAUAGUAGAAAAGAAUUUCACAAAACUUAAGGACACCAGUCUCCUGAGGACCCUGGAUGUUUCCAACAGUAUGAAUGAAAUAAAGAGCAACACAUGCUGCAUCAUAUUGAAACCAGAACAUAAAGGAUAUAGAGAAGAUCAUGAAGUCUUCUAAAGAAACAACGAGCAACUCUAAAUAAUAACAAAUUCCCAUUAACAACCUUGGUGCAAGACAAUUUGAAUUCAGAAUUCUAUUCCCAGCUAAACUAGCAAUGAAUGAAUACUAAAGAAAUUUUUAGGCCAAGGACUUGGAAAAGAGGAGAGUCUGUAUAUCCUCUUUCUUAAGAAGUUAUAAAAUGAACUAAAAUGAACCUACAGAUUGGGAGAAGAUCUUUGCAAAUGACAUAUGAGAUAAAGGGCUAGUAUCCAAGAUCUAUAAUGAAUUGAUCAGUGCUCGCUUCAGCAGCACAUACACUUAAAAGAGAAUUUAUUAGACUCAACACCCAAAAAACAAUCCAGUCCAGAAAUGGGCAGAGACAUGAACAGAAAUUUCUCCAAAGAAGGUAUGCAAAUGGCCAUGAAAAAAUGCUCCAUAUCACUUGCCAUUCAGGGAAAUACAAAUCAAAACCACCAUGAGAUCCCACCUCACACCAGUGAGAAUGGCUAAAAUUAACAAUUCAGGAAACAAAUGUUGGAGAGGAUGUGGAGAAAGGGCAACCCUCUUGCACUGUUGGGGGGGAAUGCAAGCUGGUACAGCCACCCUGGAGAACAGUGUGGAGGUUCCUCAAGAA
RNAcentral lists this long non-coding RNA (4813 nucleotides) under Canis lupus familiaris (dog). RNAcentral describes it as "lncRNA (ENSCAFG00030024499.1)". The record is from RNAcentral. Lineage: Eukaryota; Metazoa; Chordata; Mammalia; Carnivora; Canidae.